Molecule: ribosomal RNA, 506 nt
Filed under: uncultured bacterium
Lineage: Bacteria
Description: partial 16S ribosomal RNA
Rfam family: Bacterial small subunit ribosomal RNA
Source: RNAcentral
AUUGAACGCUGGCGGCAGGCCUAACACAUGCAAGUCGAACGGUAACAGGAAACAGCUUGCUGUUUCGCUGACGAGUGGCGGACGGGUGAGUAAUGUCUGGGAAACUGCCUGAUGGGGGGGGAUAACUACUGGAAACGGUAGCUAAUACCGCAUAACGUCGCAAGACCAAAGAGGGGGACCUUCGGGCCUCUUGCCAUCGGAUGUGCCCAGAUGGGAUUGGCUAGUAGGUGGGGUAACGGCUCACCUAGGCGACGAUCCCUAGCUGGGCUGAGAGGAUGACCAGACACACUGGCACUGAGACACGGUCCAGACUCCUACGGGAGGCAGCAGUGGGGAAUAUUGCACAAUGGGCGCAAGCCUGAUGCAGCCAUGCCGCGUGUAUGAAGAAGGCCUUCGGGUUGUAAAGUACUUUCAGCGGGGAGGAAGGGAGUAAAGUUAAUACCUUUGCUCAUUGACGUUACCCGCAGAAGAAGCACCGGCUAACUCCGUGCCAGCAGCCGCCGUAA